UACGGAAGGCAGCAGUGGGGAAUAUUGCACAAUGGGCGCAAGCCUGAUGCAGCCAUGCCGCGUGUAUGAAAAAGGCCUUCGGGUUGUAAAGUACUUUCAGUCGUGAGGAAGGUGUUAAGGUUAAUAACCUUAGCAAUUGACGUUAGCGACAGAAGAAGCACCGGCUAACUCCGUGCCAGCAGCCGCGGUAAUACGGAGGGUGCGAGCGUUAAUCGGAAUUACUGGGCGUAAAGGGCACGCAGGCGGUUAAUUAAGUUGGAUGUGAAAUCCCCGGGCUUAACCUGGGAAUGGCAUUCAAGACUGGUUAGCUAGAGUCUUGUAGAGGGGGUAGAAUUCCAUGUGUAGCGGUGAAAUGCGUAGAGAUGUGGAGGAAUACCGGUGGCGAAGGCGGCCCCUGGACAAGACUGACGCUCAUGUGCGAAAGCGUGGGGAGCAAACAGGGAUUAGAUACCCGU
Molecule: ribosomal RNA, 455 nt
Filed under: uncultured bacterium
Lineage: Bacteria
Description: bacterial SSU rRNA
Rfam family: Bacterial small subunit ribosomal RNA
Source: RNAcentral